GGACCUGCAGCCGCCAGGAUGGAGACCGAGGUGUCAGAUGCGAGUGACAGCCAGCUUCUGGACCAGGACCUGUAUGAUACUGACAGCUACGACGUCCCGGACCCAGGGCUGCUCAAGGAAAGGAAUGACUCGUUUCCGGAGCCAGUCCCACCGCUUUUUACCAGCAACUCUCGGCAGCAGAACAUGACCCCGGGUGCCCGCGCCCGCCAGCUGUGGCUGCUCCUCCGUGCAGGCCUCCGAGACUUCGUGGAAAAGGAAAAGAGAGCCGAGCUGUGCGUGGCACGCUUGACCCAUGGGCUAGAGCUGCUGCGCCAUCUGAAAGUGGCAGCCGAGCUGUGCUGGGUGGCACAGGAUCCAGUGGGCAGACGCUUCGUGGUGCUGGAUGGUGCCGGCUACCUCCACCUGCACAGAGAGGAUGGCUGGGCUUAUGAGAAGCUACAGGCCCCAGCCGUGCUCACUGGGCUGGUGGCUGUGCCUGGCCCCCUGGGUGCUGUGAGCCACUUCGUGGGCUGGGGCCCGGAGGGGCUGGCCAUACUAAGGCCUGACUUCAGCCUACUGUGGCUGAGCAAGCCAGGGGUGGGCGGGAUGCCGGACCACCAGCCCAUCUGCUGCCUGCCAGUGCCCAGCCUGGGGCUGUUGCUAGUGGCAUUGGCAGGUGGCAGCCUGGCGCUCUGGAAAUUCCGUUCAGGGGGUCGCCGUCUGGUGCUGUGGGGCUCACCUCUGCGGCUGCCACCAAGCUCUGCAGUUACACUCACCCGUUUGGUUCUGGGGCCCCUGUCUUCCCACCAAGUCCCAUGCUGCUUCGCGGCCUAUGGCUCUGCCGUGCUCAUCUUUGAUCUGCACACCUGGGCCCUCGUAGACGUCCGCCGGGACCUGCACAAAAUCACUAUCUCGGACUUGGCCUACUGCCUCGAGGUAGACGCAGUGGUGACAGCCUCUCGGGACAGCACGGUGAAGGUGUGGGAGACCGACUGGCGGCUCCGGAUGGUGUUCAUGGGCCACACAGGCCCUGUGACCGCCGUGGCCGUGCUCCCCAACUCGUCCCUGGUGCUGUCCGCCUCGCAGGACGGGACGCUGCGCACGUGGGACCUGCAGGCGGCGGCCCAGGUGGGCGAGGUGGCGCUGAGCGGCUGGGCCCGAGACGCGGCGGCGGCGCGCGUGGACCGCCUGCUGGCGCCCGCGGGCCCGGGCUGCCCGGUGCUGUCGUUGAGCGCGCGCGGCGUGGCCCUGUGGCGCCCCCGCGAGCUGUACGCCCCGCUGGCGCGGCUGUCGGCGCCGGUGCUGCUCGUGCAGGUGGCGCCCGCGCUGCCCGCUGCCCCGCGCGCCCUGCCCGCGCGCCUCGUGUGCGCCUGCGCCGACGGCUCGGUCCACCUGCUGGCGGCGGCCACGGGACGCCCGGUGAGCGCGCUGCUGCUGGGGGCCGCGGAGCCCGCGGCCGCGCUGCUCUACUGCCUGCCCCACGAGGCACUGUGGCUGCUGACGCGCGCCGGCCACCUGCUGUGCGCCACUGCCGCGCGCCGCCCCAUGCGCCUGCUGCUGCGGCUGCGCCCCCCGCCCGCCCCCGCGCCGCGGCCCUGCUGCCUGCACCUGUACAACCACCUCGCCGACCCGCGCAGUGCCCUCGCUGCCUGGGAGGCCGUGCGCCGCCGCGGCGGGGAGCUGCCCCCUGGCCACCUGGCCGGCGCCUGGGACGACAAGAACCGGUACCUGCCCGUGGUGGGCCACACGGAUGGCACCCUGUCGGUCCUUGAGUGGCGCCACGCGAAGACCGUCUUCCAAACGGCGGCACACAGCCCAGGCCCGGUCACCGCCAUUGCGUCCACCUGGAACAGCAUCGUGUCCUCGGGCAGCGGCGACCUGACCGUGAAGAUGUGGCGAGUCUACCCCUACGCGGAGGAGAGCCUGAGCCUGCUGCGGACCUUUUCCUGCUGGCACCCGGUGGUGGUGCUCUGUGCGCUGGGGAAGCGGGUCACUGUGGGCUUUGAGGACCCCGACACUGCCACCUACGGCUUGGUGCAGUUCGGCCUGGGCAACAGCCCCCGCUGUGAUCACCGGCCCCAGGAUGACCCCACAGACCACAUCACUGGCCUGUGCUGCUGCCCCACGCUCAAGCUGUAUGCCUCUUCCAGCCUGGACUGCACCGUCCGCAUCUGGACGGCGGAGAACCGCCUGCUGCGGCUCCUGCAGCUGGACAGCCCCCCUCAGGCCCUGGCCUUCUGCAGCAACAGUGGGGACCUGGUGUUGGCUCUGGGCUCCCGACUCUGCCUGGUGUCUCAUAGGCUCUACUUGCCCACAUCCUACCUGGUCAAAAAGCUGUGCCAGAAUGUCCCUGAGGUGCUGGAUGACCCUCCACUGCCCCUGACCAGCCAAGAGUCGCUGACCUCAGGCCAGCUGCAGAGGUUCACCAAGCUGCAUGGGGCGGCCAGUCUUAGCACAGACUUGUCUUUCAUCCAUCACCAGACGGGAACACCUCAGCAACCAGUGUUGGAGGAGGACUUGGAAGCCCUAGUUACUCGGGAUCAAGACCUUCAGCAGCUGAGACUGGGGCUGGUGGUCCCAGCAGCCCAGCCCCCACCUUCCUGGCAACAGCAGCAGGAGGCCUUUGACAACUACCUGUGCCUGGUCUAUGGCCCGGGCUUUCUGGGCGUGCCUUCUGGAAGGGAGUCCCAGCAGGAAAGCACUGUGACCCUCAUAGUGGAGAGAGAGACCUGGGACGUGUGCACCUUGCCCAGAGCUGCCAGCAGUGUUCGGCAGGCGGGGGUCUGUGCCGAAGCCCCAACAGUGCCAGCAGCCCACUCCCUACAGGACCCGGGAGCCGUGGGCCAGCACCUUGCCCACCCUCCUCAAGUCCACAUGCCCACCCCACACACACACCGGGGGGUGCACAGCAGGGCAUCCCAGCUGCUGGCCUGCUCCUCCCUGAGCGGUAACCUGGGCCUCAGUCUGGACCUGCAGCUGCAGCGGCUCCCAGGGGAGAAGCGUGUGGGCCCGGGCCCACCGACCCCCAACCUUCAGCACAGGGUUCCCCUCUUGACAAAGAGGCAGCCCAGGGAGCUUCUUUCCAACCUCCGAGGCUUCUUUCCUGCUGCCAUUGAGCACUACAAGAACCUGCAGACGCCCAUCUGCUUCCCGGGCAGCGUGCCCAACUCCGUGGUCCUGCAGUACAUGUGGCUUCCCGAGGAGGUCAGCGGCCUCAGGGCCCUCGCCCAGAUCUCCAGCCGAGGCAGACACGAGGCGAAGAGGAGCCUGGAUGACGUGUGGCUGCCACGGCGCAUCAGGCGGCGCCAAGCCAGGAAUCACCAGAAGCUGAUCCAGUGGUUGGGGGAAGAGGAGGAGGAGGAAGAGGAGGAGGAGGAGGAGGAGCGGAAUCUGGACUGGGCCUCAGAUUACCUGAGCACAGAGGAGCAGCUCUUGGAGUUGGAGGAUCUGGAGGCGCAGGCCCCCGAGAACCUGGCCCUGCUGCGCGCGGGCGCCAGGACCGACGCCAGCUCUCGCCGCCUCUCGUACCCCUACGGGCGCUCGCUCUGGAAACAGCGCUACGGGCAUCUGCCCAGGUUCCUGCAUUUCUUCGUCGUCCAGAACUGGUUCAAAAAGCUGUUCCCCAUCUUCACCCUGGAGGCCUACCCCGAGGUGGGCACGGCGGAGGGCCUGGCCUCGCUGUUCACCGAUCUGCUGUGCGAGGUAUCCUGGGCCGACUGCGUGCACAUCCUGCGAGCGCUGCUGAGGCUGCUGCCCGACGUGAGCAGGGACCUUCGGGACCGGCUGCAGGACGUCCUCGUGCGCCUGCUCAACCUGGACCGGCCCCCCAGCCUGGAGGACCCCACGCAGAAGCGGUUCGUGAUGCUGGCACUGCAGCUGCUCCUGGCCUGCUCCCUGGAGUCCCGCGAAGUGGUGCUGGAGCUCAUGUCCUACUUCCUGUACUCGCCGGUCUCCUGCUGGCCCGAGCUCAAGAAGCUGCUGGACGGGCUGGGCCUGCAGGACCCACAGGGCUUCCUGUUCAAGGAGAUGAUGACCUGGGUCCAGGGCCCCGACACCAACUCCAAGGCUGCCCUGCGCAAACGCUGCUGCCAGAAGCUGGAGGAAAUGAUCCACUGGCUGCAGAUGGAGUCCUUGCAGCCUUCUGUAGCCAAAUUGUCAGAGAUGCUGCCCAGGGUCUGCGAGCCCUCGGCACCCACACCUUCUCCCAAGGAGGUGCUGUCACAGGUCUCUGUGCUCUCCGGGUCACCUCAUGAGUCAGUGAUGCCCUCGGUCCCUUCCUGGGCCCCCUCACUAGUGGUCUCACCCGGGAAGCUGGACUUGGCCACCCUGGAGUCCCCAGCCAAGAAGGUGCUUUCACCGAUGCACUUCACACCGACCAGGCGCAUGCUGUCCGAGACCCUGCUGCACUUCUCCCGCUCUGAGGGGCGCUUGAGCUCCUCAGUGCCCACUAUACUUCGGGAAGAGCCACUGCCGCUGGAGCAGACGGACUGGUCACGGUCACAGAUGCUCGACCUGGGCCCCAUCGAUGCGCUGAACUUCUUCUGUGAGCAGCAGCGGGUCCGGCAGCAGCGCUUCCUGCAGGAGGAGCGGCAGGGCCUGCACCCCAGCCCAAGCCCGUCGGUGCCCAACACAGUACUGCCUCAGCCCCGGGACUGCUGGCACUACCCCAUCCUCCGGCUUCAGGAAGCCAAGCUCCAGAGGGCUCCAAUGAGACUGAGGGGGGCUGCAAGUGUGAGCAGGACAGUCUUGCUGGUGUGAUGGAUCUGCCAGUGGCCACCUGGAAAGCAGGAACUGGGGGCACGGUGGAAUGUGGUGUGGUCGGCCCUUGGCGGAGCAGCAUUCCUGGUGGGUGUGUCUGUCUGCCAGGAGAGAGGCCCAUCACGUGGGCACAUCUCAGCUCAGGCACGUGGCCUGUAUUUAUUAAUUUUAUUUAUUUAUUCAUGAGAGACUCACGGAGAGGCAGAGACAAGAUGCGGGGAGCCCAAUGUGAGACUGGAUCCCAGGUGCCCGGGAUCAUGACCUAAGCCAAAGGCAGACGUUCACCUGCUGAGCCACCCAGGUGUUGGUGCCCCAAGUCUAUCAAAUUUUAAACUUCUGCUCUGUCAAAGGCCAUGUCAGCAGGCUGGAAAGACAAGCCAUGACCAGGAGAAGACGCUUGCACGUGGCCUGUCCACAGAGAACAUCUAGCUUGAAAGAAAAAAAAAACAGCUUCCAAAAUUAACUAUAGAAGCCAAACAAUCCCACUAGAAAAUGGGUGAAAGAAAAGAAAAGAAAGAAAAUGGGUAAAAGAAGCAAACAUUUCAGCAAAGACGAAAUGUUCCUCAUCCCCAGCAAUUAGAGGAACGCAAAUGAAGAACACCUAAAAUAAAAAAGCUGACAUCGCCAAAGCUGGUGAGGAUUCGAGCAACCGGGUCUCCACACGCUGCUCGCGGGAAUGCCAACCGGUCCAGACACUCGCAAACCAUUUGGCAGUUUCUGGAGAACAAAACAUGCCAGCACUAGGACGCAGCGGUCCCAUCACCGGGCAUUUACCCCAGAGAAAUGAAGAUUGAUGCCCACACGGAAGCCUGUACACAAGGCUUUAGGCUGCUUUACUCGUCACAGCCCCAAACUGAAAAUGACACAGAGGUGCUUGGGCAGGCGGACGUGCGCCCGCGAGCUCUGUAGCAGCAGGAUGAAGUGGUUGACACGGCGACAACCUCCAGAGGUCCUAGGCUGCGUGAUUCCACUUCCGUCACACUCGUGAGGUGACAAGCACGGAGAGGAAGCACAGGCCCGUGGGUGCCGGGGGAGGCCGGGAGCACAACAGCAGGAUACCGUGGGGAGGGCCCUGCUCCCUAUUUCGAUGGCGGCGCUGAGGGCAGAGGGGGAGGUUCAUGCUGAAAGGUUAUGGGUUCUGUUGGGUGAUGAAAACCUUCUGGAGACACAUGGUGGUGAUGGUUGCACAGACCACGAGUGUAAAUGCUACUAACUAUACACUUAAAAAUGUUCAGGGGCUGGGAUCCCUGGGUGGCGCAGCGGUUUGGCGCCUGCCUUCGGCCCAGGGCGCGAUCCUGGAGACCCGGGAUCGAAUCCCACGUCGGGCUCCCGGUGCAUGGAGCCUGCUUCUCCCUCUGCCUGUGUCUCUGCCCCUCUCUCUCUCAGGAAUAAAUAAAUAAAAUCUUUAAAAAAAAAAAAAUGUUCAGGGGCACCUUGGCU
This is an RNA transcript of Nyctereutes procyonoides (raccoon dog), 6177 nucleotides long. It is a transcript of the gene named WD repeat domain 97, with no coding region annotated. The transcript has 25 exons. Lineage: Eukaryota; Metazoa; Chordata; Mammalia; Carnivora; Canidae. The record is from RefSeq and is a predicted model, not a curated record.